RNAcentral lists this ribosomal RNA (256 nucleotides) under uncultured bacterium. Its description in RNAcentral is "partial 16S ribosomal RNA". It matches the Rfam family "Archaeal small subunit ribosomal RNA", at positions 474 to 728 of the family's 1478-position model. The record is from RNAcentral.
UACCAGCACCCCGAGUGGUCGGGACGUUUAUUGGGGCCUAAAGCAUCCGUAGCCGGUUCUACGUAGUCUUCCGUUAAAUCCAACUGCUUAACAGGUGGGCUGCGGAAGAUACUAUAGAGCUAGGAGGCGGGAGAGGCAAGCGGUACUCGAUGGGUAGGGGUAAAAAUCCGUUGAUCCAUUGAAGACCACCAGUGGCGAAGGCGGCUGCCAGAACGCGCUCGACGGUGAGGGAUGAAAGCUGGGGGAGCAAACCGGG